AGGAGUGUAGCUCAGUUGGUAGAGCAGCGGUCUCCAAAACCGCCGGUCGCGGGUUCGAAUCCUGCCACUCCUGCCA
RNAcentral lists this transfer RNA (76 nucleotides) under Chloroflexi bacterium RBG_16_50_9. RNAcentral describes it as "tRNA-Trp". It matches the Rfam family "tRNA". From Rfam's summary of the family: Transfer RNA (tRNA) molecules are approximately 80 nucleotides in length. Their secondary structure includes four short double-helical elements and three loops (D, anti-codon, and T loops). RNAcentral also lists the same sequence under 2 other names. Lineage: Bacteria; Bacillati; Chloroflexota. The record is from RNAcentral.